This 254-nucleotide unclassified non-coding RNA is filed under the name uncultured Enterobacteriaceae bacterium. Its description in RNAcentral is "contains 16S-23S intergenic spacer region". It matches the Rfam family "Bacterial small subunit ribosomal RNA", at positions 524 to 776 of the family's 1533-position model. The record is from RNAcentral. Lineage: Bacteria; Pseudomonadati; Pseudomonadota; Gammaproteobacteria; Enterobacterales; Enterobacteriaceae.
UACGUAGGGGGCAAGCGUUGUCCGGAAUUACUGGGCGUAAAGCGCACGCAGGCGGUCUGUCAAGUCGGAUGUGAAAUCCCCGGGCUCAACCUGGGAACUGCAUCCGAAACUGGCAGGCUAGAGUCUUGUAGAGGGGGGUAGAAUUCCCGGUGUAGCGGUGGAAUGCGCAGAUAUCGGGAGGAACACCAGCGGCGAAGGCGGCUCUCUGGGCCUGACACUGACGCUGAGGUGCGAAAGCGUGGGUAGCAAACAGG